Scophthalmus maximus (turbot) is the source of this 1367-nucleotide long non-coding RNA. RefSeq lists it as uncharacterized. The transcript has 3 exons. The record is from RefSeq and is a predicted model, not a curated record. Lineage: Eukaryota; Metazoa; Chordata; Actinopteri; Pleuronectiformes; Scophthalmidae.
UUGGUUUCUUCAUUUGGUAUUUCGAAAUUUGAGCAUGUUAAUCAAUGCUGGAGUGUUUUAAUUGUUUAAAUUUAGCACUGUGUCACAAAUGGUUUCAGUGCAAAAAUUCUGAGACCUAAUGAAAUGAAAAAAUUUACCUAGAACUGCUUUUUUAAUUUACAUGUGCUAUUCUUUUAUGUCACAGAAUGGAUUGCCCAGCGGAAAAUUCUAAAAAAGAGAUGCCCAAAAGAGCACACCUCCCACCAAAGAAGAUGACAUUGUAUGAAACAGACCUCGGCUCACCCAAAGAUGACCAGGAUGGUGGUGAACAACUUGAGGCAUUAGGGUUUCUGGAUAAAGUUGAACAGAUACAACCUCAGGCUGGUGUUAUGGCGACAAAAAGCAGAUCUGGGAAGCAAGAGCUGUAUCCAGAUAGUGGCCUCUUCCUGUCCGAUACCAAUCCAUGAAGAGGCAAGGAAGGACUGCCUUCGCUUACUCCAUCUUCUUUUUGACGGAUUUGUCAGUGUAGAGGAGUGCCAAAAUGCAGUGGCAUUUGGGAAACACGGAAAGGUGCCAGAAGGGAAAGCAGUCCUGGACAAGUCCAAAGUUGAUGGGAUUGAAACCUACAUCAUGCGCUGUGGCACACUGGAUGGAUGGACACUGGUGGAGAAAGCCAAGGUCAAAAAAGCCUUCAUAAACCAUUGCCGCAUAAGGGCCACAAAGAAUUGAAUUCAUGAAUUCUUGAAUGUGGCUAACCAGAUGGAUGUUUUGUUGAGAUAGUUCCAAAAAUAUUUCAGCAUUGGCCAAUUGCGCAACCUUCAACAUCCUCAAAAAGUUCUUGUCUUACCACUGACAUGCUCAGACAACAUUAUGGAAAGGAUCCUUACAGAGGUCAGCCCUUUUGUUAAAAAGUAACACGAUUUUUGUUUAACAUGAAUCAUCCCCGAAAUUACUUCCCCCAAACCGACCAGACUCUAUUCAUAUAAACAGUUAUUUAAUCAUUGUAUAAUUAACUUUCCACUCUUCCAACAAUCACAAAUCAUUUACCGAUUUAUAUGUGGAAAUAUGCAGAUUCUGGUGGGUUUGGCAAAAGCUAUUUCUGAGCUGUUUCUGUUUAAACAAAAAGGAUCUUACUCUUUAACAAAAAGGUCUAUCUCUGUAGGGUUCCUUUCCAUAAUUUCAGAUACUUAGAAUAACAAUCUGAGCCUUUCAGUGGACAGAUACAUUUGCCCUAUAUGAUUACAUUGUAGCCCGGUUCGCGGCUGCCUUACAGUGUUCUUGCUCAAUACUGGACCAAUUUCUUCUUUCUUUUUUUAAUAAUCUUUUCAUUGUUUUAAUACUGGACCAUUUUCAACGAUUGUUGUUCAACUUGUCCAUUAAAUAAAGGG